Molecule: ribosomal RNA, 475 nt
Filed under: uncultured bacterium
Lineage: Bacteria
Description: partial 16S ribosomal RNA
Rfam family: Bacterial small subunit ribosomal RNA
Source: RNAcentral
GAUGAGCGCUGGCGGCGCGCCUAACGCAUGCAAGUCGAACGGCACCCCUCUCCGGAGGGAAGCGAGUGGCGAACGGCUGAGUAACACGUGGAGAACCUGCCCCCUCCCCCGGGAUAGCCGCCCGAAAGGACGGGUAAUACCGGAUACCCCGGGGUGCCGCAUGGCACCCCGGCUAAAGCCCCGACGGGAGGGGAUGGCUCCGCGGCCCAUCAGGUAGACGGCGGGGUGACGGCCCACCGUGCCGACAACGGGUAGCCGGGUUGAGAGACCGACCGGCCAGAUUGGGACUGAGACCCGGCCCAGACUCCUACGGGAGGCAGCAGUGGGGAAUCUUGCGCAAUGGGGGGAACCCUGACGCAGCGACGCCGCGUGCGGGACGGAGGCCUUCGGGUCGUAAACCGCUUUCAGCAGGGAAGAGUCAAGACUGUACCUGCAGAAGAAGCCCCGGCUAACUACGUGCCAGCAGCCGCCGUAA